GGGCGCUGCGCGCGGGGCGGGAGCCGGCCGAGCCUCCGCGCCCCUCGCCUUUGUGCCGCUCGGCGCCGCCGCCCUCUCCUUCCCCGCGCCGGCUGUGCGCCCCGGCUGGAGGGCGGGCGGGGGAUCAAGGGCGGCUCCCGGGGGUCGCGGGGCGCGGACACCCGGCCCGGAGACCAGGCAUCGCGCGCGGCGCUCGGAGCCCGGCCGGCAGCCGAGCGGGACCAGGUGCCGAGCACCCUGCUGAGAGGGGUAUGCUCCGGCCCCCCAGGUGUGGCGGGACCCUGGUGCCAGAGACCUCCCGUUUCUCCGGAUGAGGAGAAGAGCCAGCUGAGCCCUCACCAGCUCACCAGGAUUUGGCCAGAAGACAGUUCCUCUCCUCCCCACACGACUUCUGAGAGGAUGGAGGAACAGCGGAGGAGAGGACUGGCUGCCUUUCAUUCUGAGCUUGGCAGCGAAGGGAUUGGGUGAAGUCAUUGGCCAGUGGAAUGCCAAUUUAAGGGUGUGUGUGUGUGUGUGUGUGUGUGUGUGUAUCUGUCUGUCUGUCUUUGGCAUUGAAAACAGCUUUUAAAAAAGCCCUGCUCUGAUAUAUGAAAUAAACCUGGCUCCCUUGCUGUCUUUCUUGGUUUGUGGAUUUAUCACUUGUCGUCUUUAUGCUGUUUCUUGUAUUUUCCCUUUAAAACAUCAUGUGAUGCUUUUGCAACUGGAAAGGAAAUAACAGAUGCCUUUCUGUUCCUAAGUCUGAUGUUGUCAGCCUGAGGUUUCUGACCGCCUGUUAGGGCAUCACAGAAGGGCCCCUUGCUUCACAGGCAUUCGAUUUACAUUCAGAUUGUUUUCUCUUCUUGGU
Long non-coding RNA from Hipposideros armiger (great roundleaf bat), 844 nucleotides. RefSeq lists it as uncharacterized. The transcript is spliced from 3 exons. The record is from RefSeq and is a predicted model, not a curated record. Lineage: Eukaryota; Metazoa; Chordata; Mammalia; Chiroptera; Hipposideridae.